RNAcentral lists this transfer RNA (67 nucleotides) under Trichonephila inaurata madagascariensis. RNAcentral's name for it is "tRNA-His". The record is from RNAcentral. Lineage: Eukaryota; Metazoa; Arthropoda; Arachnida; Araneae; Nephilidae.
GGUCGUGGCGCAACGGAAAACGCGCCUGACGAUGGAUCAGGAGAUUCCAGGUUCGAAUCUUGGCUCU